RNAcentral lists this ribosomal RNA (425 nucleotides) under uncultured bacterium. RNAcentral describes it as "partial 16S ribosomal RNA". It matches the Rfam family "Bacterial small subunit ribosomal RNA", at positions 354 to 796 of the family's 1533-position model. The record is from RNAcentral.
GUGGGGAAUAUUGGACAAUGGGCGAAAGCCUGAUCCAGCCAUGCCGCGUGAGUGAUGAAGGCCUUAGGGUUGUAAAGCUCUUUUGUCCGGGAAGAUAAUGGCUGUACCGGAAGAAUAAGCCCCGGCUAACUUCGUGCCAGCAGCCGCGGUAAUACGAAGGGGGCUAGCGUUGCUCGGAAUCAAUGGGCGUAAAGGGCGCGUAGGCGGCCUUUUAAGUCGGAGGUGAAAGCCCAGGGCUCAACCCUGGAAUUGCCUUCGAUACUGGGAGUCUUGAGUUCGGAAGAGGUUGGUGGAACUGCGAGUGUAGAGGUGAAAUUCGUAGAUAUUCGCAAGAACACCGGUGGCGAAGGCGGCCAACUGGUCCGAAACUGACGCUGAGGCGCGAAAGCGUGGGGAGCAAACAGGAUUAGAAACCCGUGUAGUCC